AUGGCCUAACACAGUGACAAAGCAAGUCACAAAGGACAAAGAAUCAAAACGACAUUAGGUUGCUUUUUAGUAAUCCUGGGAAUUAGAAGACAAUGGUCAGGACUUUUGAGACUGUGAGGUAAAAGUAUUUCCCACCUAGGUAACCUAGGGAAGCCAUCAAUCAAAUGUGCAGAGAGUAACACAUUUUCAGGCGUUUCAGAUGUAAAAGCACUGAACAUGUUGCUUCUUAAGUCCCCUUUCCUAAGUCCCCUUUCUCAGAACACUAUGGGAGGAUGUAUGCAACAAAAACAGGGAACAAACCAAGGAAGAGGAAGAAAAGAGAUUCCAGAAAUGAGAAACUUAAUGGAGAAGGGCAGAGAAGGUAAAUCUCAGGCUGAAGAGAGAGGUCCUAAGAGGACAGUCGAGUAGCAGAUCCAGCAAGCAAGGAGUUCAGAGAAGAGCCAGGAAACAGAGGGGAAAACGAAACAGAUACAUUCGAUUGAACGGAGAUGAUUUCUGAUUAGUGAGUGGUAGAGAUGUGGAGCACUUAGAAAAAAUUAACAAUAGAUACUAGACAUCAGGCGAGUUAAAAAGGGGUUAUUAACUCCAGAACAAAGGAGGGCUGUAUAAAAAAGAAUGCAUAGUCAUAAUGUGUAAUGGCCUCGACAGUGCUUGUCCUCAAUCAAAAACUGGAACAUAAUGAUGAUGAGAGGAUGGGGGGAGAGAAGCAGGAGGGAGAUGGGAGAUUUACCUGCUAUUUACCAUGGCAAAAGCUAAUGCCCAAAACUGAUGUAUCAAAAAAAAAUACUGUGUAAGCGUAUAUUUAAAAAUUGAGUUAAAAACUAGAGGAAACACCCAGGAGAAUUAAGGGUGAUUAGAACCUAAAGGAGGCACUGGGCUUGGAGAAACAGGGAACAAAGAUUGCUGCUUUUCAUUCUAAACCUUCUAGUAGAAUUAAAUUAUAUGAUGGUAUUAUCUGAAUUCCCCACAUACAGCUUUUUAAAAAUUCAAUCCCUGUAUAUCCGUAAUCCGGCCUGUCAUAUAGUAGGAUCUCAAAUGUAUGCUACAGAAGGAAUGGAGGGAGAGAUCCCGGGACAGGAGGCAUUGGGAAGGACUUCCUGGAAGAGAGAAGACAUGGGCUGCGCCUAGAAGUCUGUGUAGGAUGUGGAUGAGCAGAGGGAGGGACCCUAGUUUUCUGGAGUAGGAGACGAUAGAGCAAAGGGUCUUCAAAGACAGAGCAAGUUAAUUUGUCGUAUCAGCUAAUCAUUCUAGGAGUUUCUGAAUUCUAAGAGAAUUCACAGAGAAUGUCCCAAAGGGAUGGAAGUGGAAAAGCAGAAUGGCAGUCCCCUUGGCCGAUGGGACCUCUCUUGUCUGUUAGCAUAUAACUCUUAAACAGUGCAGUCCCUUCUGAAGGGACCAUAUGGCAUCUCCCAUCCCUUCCCCUCUGCAACCUUCAGGUUUCAUGUAUUAUUUCUUUCAGAGUGGGAGUACUCAAACCUCUGAUAGCAGAAUUAUCUGAAGAGCUUUUCCCAAAUAUUACCAUCUUGAUCCCAUUCCCAGAGAGGCCAACUCCACUGAUCUGGGAGGAGCCCCAAGACUCAGGGCUGGGGUAGGGCGAAAUGAGAAAGGCACUUGUUCUCAGGCUCCUGCCGGCACAAGGUCAAAUGCUGCCUUUACUUAAGUUUGAUGCUCUGUUCAUCAUGGAUUUUUUAAUUAAUUUUGUUUUGUAAAUACAGGACAUUAUUAUGUAUUUUGAUUAUGGGGUUUGGGGCACUCCUUAAAUUUUGCAGCCCAGGUGAGUAGGCACUCUUUAGCCCCAGCCCUAGUAAACAUCAGCAGUUUUGCUUGAAGCCCGGCCAGGGUCUGAACCGUGGGGCGUAGUCAUUGCUCUGAAGCCUCCAGGGAGGCAGGGCAGGGAUUCCCACAGCCCUGCACAGCCGGAGAUGCAGGACAGGCUGCAGUUGGGGCAGCCCUGAGCUUCUGCAGGCCUUCCAGAGUAAAACCAGCAGCAGCCUGGCCUGGGUGGCUCCCUCUGCUUCCAGGGGCAGUGUCUAGAUGAGCAGAAAGACUCCGUUGCCCCUGUUCUAUGCUGGGAAUCUUCUAUGGAGGCAAAAAAGACAUCUGCACAACCUUGUUUUUCUGGAAAAGUCAUCCAAAUAGUUCCCCGACACAGAACCCUUCAAUUUUCCAAAGGAGUAAAUUAAAUGCCUGCUCAUUGCUUGAAAAGCUAAUGCUCCUCACACUGGUUUGAGGAGAAAUUUUCAAUCCAAUGGAGCUGAAUUUUCUGUGAUAGCUAAUUAUCACUUACCAUGUGUGAGAUAGGGUGCUGGAGGGUUAUCUUUGGGAGGGUUAUCUAAGCGGAUUCUCGUGUCACCUCACGAGGCAGAUACCAUUGUCACCCUAAUUUUACAGAUGAGGAAAUGGAGGCCCAGAGAGGUUGAGUAACUUGCUGGAGGUCACACCGCUGGCAGAGGGGAUAGUUGGUUUUGACGCUCUGUCAUCCUGACCCCCAUCCUUGUGAGUUCUCUAUCAUUCUCACAACAGGAACAGAAAUGUCUAGCGUCUAGACUGUAGCCAGGAAGCCGGGGUCCUAGCAUGGAGCCACUGCAUGAGCUUGGGUGGCCUUCCCACAUGCUGUUCAUUUCCUCACCUGAGAACAGGGAAGGGGACAGCUGUGCUGGCCAUUCUGGCCCGGACAUGCAGGGAUCCUGUGACUGGAGCCAUCUGGGCGUUUCCAGCAGUCACGUGCUCUGCUGUUGUUUGUUCUGAAGAUGCAGGAGCCGUAGAGGAGAAUAACUCACAGAGAAGGGCAGUGGGAAUAUUCCAGGCCAGGGUCUUGGAAACCACCUUAGUCACCUUCUUCAGCAUCCCCUGGUCAGAGGAUUCAGCAGCUCCCAAGCAAGUGCCCAGACAGUGGGGUGUCCCAGUGAACUGAAAGUACCCAUCCCUAAGACAGUGGAUGGUGCCGUUUGAACAGCGUCACUCUUGCGUGGUCAGCUCGGGCUGAUGUGACCAAUUCCACAGACGACCGGGAUAACCGAUUCCACAGACCGGGAUAACCAAUUCCACAGAUCGGGGGGCUUAAACCACAGAAAGGCAUUUCCUUAUGAUUCUGGAACCUGGAAGUUCACAAUCAAGUGAGGAGCAAGAAAUGAAAGCCAGCAUCUGCGUGUCACCUGCAGAGCGCCCUGCAGCUGGUCCUCUCAUUUGCCCUCCAAGUCAGCUCACAGGCUCAGCCUUAACACGAGGAAAGAGCUCCAAGGAGUUAAGAGACAUACACUGACUGUUCUCUCCUUCUGGAACUUUCUCCCUUCCCAUGGGCGCCCACAGCCCCCGGGCUUCCCUGUCAUAACUCUCGUCAUUGCCACCUGCUCCUCGUGGGCCUCCCCCAAGGCUGUGAGCUCCAGAGAGCAGGGUGGUGUCUCUCUUUCUCGCAUCUCUAUUUACAGCAUCCAGCAUAGAGCCUGGCCUCAGAAACCCUCCAAGUGCUUGUUUGUAGCAGACCAUUGUGUGGCUAUGCCCUGAAUCAGAGCUGGAAUUCACCCAAAGGAAAACAGAAAAGAUUCUUUUAGGUGACGUGGGUUUCAAAUAAUUUGAUACGGAAACUUCAGGGAAGUCAUGGGAGAAAUUAGAAUUCUGGACAUCCUUAUGACUAUUUUAAUUCAAUUUCAAUUCAUUUCCACAAACAUUUUUCUCAUGCCUGCUCUGUGCUAGGCACUGCUGAACAAACGGAACAAAAAAUCCACCCUUAUGCAGCUUACAUUCUAAUGGAGAAACAGAAAUGAUACAACAAAGUAAAUAAACAAGUUAUGUGGCAUUUUAGUAGUAAGCACCAUGGAGAAAAAAAUAAAGUGAAGAAAUAGCAAAAGCCACUGCAGAGGCUGCAGGUGGGACUAAGAGUGAAGAGGUGAGUGAGUCAUAUGGGUGUCUGAGGGAACCUGCUCCAGGCAGAGGGAGUGACAAGUGCAAACGCCCUGGGGCAGGAACUGCAAGGAAGUCAGCAAGGCUGGAGUUGCGUGAGCAAUGAAAGAAAGAAAAGAAAGAAGAUUCGUCCAGAGAGGCAAGACUCGGAGGUCUUUGUAGUCCUGCGUAGGCCAUUGUAAAGCCUUUGGUGUUUUACUUUGAGUGAAAUGGGGAGGACUUCACAAAUAAUAGGAUUUAUUUUCAGUCAUAGUGGGAUUUUAUUUGAGGGGGCGGGUUGAAUAGUUGAAUAGCCACCAUAUCUUCCUGUGCCCCCAAACCUGGCUUGAACCCAAGUGCAACUAACGACAAACGUAGUGCCCACUCCGGAACCCAUGCCUCCAAGAAGGGAGAGGCAAGAGAGGAAGAGGCCCUCCACUUUGAAGCCUGAGCCCCGGGCCACGGUGGAGAGAGCUCUGAGCAGCUCUAUGAGGGAGUGUGCGGCCCUCUUGGUGACUUAGCCUCCACAGUGCCAGGAAUGUGGUGUCUGCCACCAGACCGCUAUUGUGAAUUGAAUGGGGAAAAGGUAAAGGGAGAAAUGCAACCCCCAGGGCUGGGGCUGUGCAGCCUGCAGGUUGCGCAAUAGACUCUGCUGGCCUCAGGCCUGGCUCUCCACAAUCUGGUCCCCUCCCCACGCCCUCAGCAAGCCUCUGGGUCACAGGACUAAAAAGCUGCUUCCAAUUAGAUUCACUGAACCCCUUGGGCCCUAGAGGGAGGAACUCGACAGGAGCCAUUGCUCUGGGUGUAGGGAGGAAGAGGAGGAGGUGAUCAGGGAGGUGAGGUGGGAGGAUCAGGCAAGCACCUAAUCACUGCUUGCCUGGGUGCUCACCGCUCCCAAGCAGUGCUGCAGGCUGGUGUGAAGAGAGUGACCCGGGAAGCUCCAAGACCCAGAUUUAAACUCAGUUAUGACGUUUCCAUGAGUGUCAUGACUGAGCAAGAAGGUGAAGAGCCCGCGCCUGUUUCCUCAUCUGCGGAACGGAGCGAACACGCCACCUACUUCAUGAGACUUAACAGACGAUGGAAGUGGAGCAUUCAGCACAGAGCCUGGCACAUGGUGAGCGUACAUUAUGCAGCGGUUCCUUUUCUCAUCGCCCAGUCCACAAGGCUUCCUGUCUCCCUGUGUGCCCAGAUCUCGACAUGGCUCAGCAGGGCCGGGAGCGGGAGGCUUCUGAGCUCAGCCUGAGGGGAGACCUGGGCUGGCUGGGGGUCAAUGCAGGAACCAAAAUAGGAUGCAAGAAAGGAGAAGGCAAUCUACAGGACUGAGUGUCCUUCAAACUUGUUCACUUUCCCAUAGUGAGAAGUUCAUUUUUCACUCUGACUCAGCAUAAACACGUGCAUGUAUGUAACAUGGAGUUAAAAGCUUCAAGAAGCAAUACUGACUCAUGCUCUAGCUUCUAUUCUCUUCUAUUCCAUCAAAAAAUAUUAAAUGCUAGUCACAACCCAAACACAAGAUUUUUAAAGCUAACGAAAAGUCCAAGCCCGGGCCUGGAACACAGUUGGUCUCACGACUGGUCCCUCUCAGUCUGGGCCAGGGCUGUGUGGACCGACGGGUGAGCAGGUCCACAGGCAUUGUGACUAUUCUCUUCAAGUCUCCAGAAGGCCACCAAGAGGCAGAAGGGGCAGGAGGCAGCAGAGGCUGAGUGGGCAGAUGACGCCCUGAAGAACUGCUUCAGACCCUGUCCAGGACGGCCUUCUGCCCCACAGAGCCAGGUCAGGAGCAGUGGAGUGGGCACCCACGCUGGCUGUCUUCAGGCAGAGGCUAGAGGGCCAUCCACCAGGCCACCUGCACAAUGUGAACCUGACCUGGGAAGGGCCAAGGGCCUGGAGGACCUGAGAGAGGCCAUGUAGCAUGGUGGUCAGCACAGAGCUUCUACUACCAGGCUGCCCAAGCCAAUGGUCCAUGUCCUGGCGCCAUGGCCUCCCAGCUGGGCGGCUGAAGGCAAAUCAUUUACCUCUCUAUGCCCUAGUUUUCUCACUUGUAAAGUGGAGAUGACGAUCCUUCCUCAAAGAGCCCUGUAAGGACUGUGUAUGGAUGUGUGCAUCCUAGAACAGUGCCUGGCGCUGUUGUCAUUUUUAUGCCAAGUCAGAUGAAGGCGCUGACUGGCUGGAGGCCAGCCAGGUUGUGUGCCAACAAAUGCCAUAUGGCUUCGGGGCCCAGCUUUCUCUCUCCACAGCCUCCAACCGGUGAGCCAGGUUCUCCUUGAGAUUGGCAGGGGUGGGAGCAGCAUGGGUAUGUGCCCACCUGCCGCUGCCCUCAGCCAGGGCCCCUCGACAGACAUUCUCCACGGUUCAUUCAUCAUUUGCUUGCUGGCCAGGUUGAGCGGUGAAGGGGAGGAGCUUCGUUCUCUAGAUCACAGGAGCUUUCUCUGGGCUGCCGGAGUGCCCAGGCUAGGUGCUGCAAACUCCUGCAGCGAUUGCCAGUGAGAACUGAAGAUGACUGGGCUUCUGUGACGGCUGGGGACUUGGAAAACUUUUGUGUCUAGCUAAAGGAUUAUAAACGCACCAAUCAGCACUCUCUGUCUAGCUAAAGGUUUGUAAAUGCACCAAUCAGCACUCUGUGUUUAGCUAAGGGAGUGGGGACUUGGAGAACGUUUGUGUCUAGCUGAAGGAUUGUAACGCACCAAUCAGCACUCUGUGUCUAGCUAAAGGUUUGUAAACGCACCAAUCAGCUCUCUGUCAAAAUGGACCAAUCAGCUCUCUGUAAAAUGUACCAAUCAGCUCUCUGUAAAAUGGGCCAAUCAGCUCUCUAUAAAAUGGACCAAUCAGCAGGAUGUGGGUGGGGCCAGAUAAGGGAAUAAAAGAGGGCCACCUGAGUCAGCAGUGGCAACCUGGUCGGUUCUAUUUCCCUGUUUUGGGAUGUCUGUGUUUUUCCUGUUUGCAAUAAAUCUUGUUGCUGUUCUCUGUUUGGGUCCCUGCCAUUUUUUAUGAACUGUAACACUCACCGGGAU
RNAcentral lists this long non-coding RNA (6887 nucleotides) under Homo sapiens (human). Its description in RNAcentral is "HSALNT0340155". The record is from RNAcentral. Lineage: Eukaryota; Metazoa; Chordata; Mammalia; Primates; Hominidae.